Molecule: ribosomal RNA, 425 nt
Filed under: uncultured bacterium
Lineage: Bacteria
Description: partial 16S ribosomal RNA
Rfam family: Bacterial small subunit ribosomal RNA
Source: RNAcentral
GUGGGGAAUAUUGGACAAUGGGCGCAAGCCUGAUCCAGCCAUGCCGCGUGAGUGAUGAAGGCCUUCGGGUUGUAAAGCUCUUUAGUCCACGAAUAUAAUGACUGUAGUGGAAGAAUAAGCCCCGGCUAACUUCGUGCCAGCAGCCGCGGUAAUACGAAGGGGGCGAGCGUUAUUCGGAAUCACUGGGCGUAAAGCGUGCGUAGGCUGUUUUGUAAGUCAGAAGUGAAAGCCCAGGGCUUAACCCUGGAAUUGCUUUUGAAACUACAAGACUCGAAUUCGGGAGAGGAUAGCGGAAUUGUCAGUGUAGCAGUGAAAUGCGUAGAUAUUGACAGGAACACCAGUGGCGCAAGCGGCUAUCUGGACCGAUAUUGACGCUGAGGCACGAAAGCGUGGGGAGCAAACAGGAUUAGAAACCCUGGUAGUCC